Molecule: ribosomal RNA, 750 nt
Filed under: uncultured bacterium
Lineage: Bacteria
Description: bacterial SSU rRNA
Rfam family: Bacterial small subunit ribosomal RNA
Source: RNAcentral
GAUGAACGCUGGCUGUGUGCCUAAUACAUGCAUGUCGAGCGAAGCACUUUUGUGCUUAGCGGCGAAUGGGUGAGUAACACGUACUUAACCUACCCUCAAGAUUGGGACAACACUUGGAAACGAGUGCUAAUACCAAAUACGUAUUUUUAUCGCAUGAUAGAUAUAUAAAAGGAGCUUCGGCUUCACUAGAGGAUGGGAGUGCGCUACAUUAGUUAGUUGGUAGGGUAAUGGCCUACCAAGACUAUGAUGUAUAGCGGGGCCGAGAGGCUGAUCCGCCACACUGGGACUGAGAUACGGCCCAGACUCCUACGGGAGGCAGCAGUAGGGAAUUUUCCACAAUGAACGAAAGUUUGAUGGAGCGACACAGCGUGCAGGAUGAAGGUCUUCGGAUUGUAAACUGCUGUUAUAAGAGAAGAAAAACCCUGGUAGGUAAUGACCAGGACUUGACGGUACCUUAUCAGAAAGCGGCGGCUAACUAUGUGCCAGCAGCCGCGGUAAUACAUAGGUCGCAAGCGUUAUCCGGAAUUAUUGGGCGUAAAGAGUUCGUAGGUGGUUUUGUAAGUCUGAAGUUAAAUACCGGGGCUCAACCCCGGCCCGCUUUGGAUACUGCAAAACUAGAGUAAUAGAGAGGUUAGUGGAACUCCAAGUGAAGCGGUGGGAUGCGUAGAUAUUUGGAAGAACACCAAUGGCGAAGGCAACUAACUGGAUAUUAACUGACACUGAGGAACGAAAGCGUGGGUAGCAAACAGG